Molecule: long non-coding RNA, 491 nt
Organism: Triplophysa dalaica
Lineage: Eukaryota; Metazoa; Chordata; Actinopteri; Cypriniformes; Nemacheilidae
Exons: 3
Source: RefSeq, a predicted model, not a curated record
CACUUGAGAUUCAAAAAAUACUGUUCUGUUGAACACAAAAGAAGACAUUUUGAAGAAUGUAGGACAGCAAACAGUUCUCGGUCACUUUUGACUAACAUUGUCAUUUUUCCUAGUAGUCAAAGGGGUACAAGAACUGUUUGUUUACAAGCAUUCGUCCAAAUAUCUUUCUCAGUUUUCAUCAGAACAGAAGUUUAUACAGAUUUGGAACAACUCGAAGAUGAAAGAAACUUACAAGAGUGAGGAAAAAAGCGAUUCAUCAUAGGGAGGCAAUAAUAGAAGAAAGGCUUAACCAUGUUACCAGGUUUCUACAAUGUCAACUCCUGUCGAGAGAGAGUAUGGUUAUUUAUUUGGAAAAGUCGAGGCAGCGGUCGAAUCGUCCGUGGUGACGGUAGAAACAGAAGCGGAUGUGGUUAAGCAGUGAGGAGAUGAGACGGGUUUGUGUCCCGCAGAACUGCUGUGAGACGCCUCUGAGCAGGACCCGCUCUGACUGG